Molecule: ribosomal RNA, 203 nt
Filed under: uncultured bacterium
Lineage: Bacteria
Description: partial 16S ribosomal RNA
Rfam family: Bacterial small subunit ribosomal RNA
Source: RNAcentral
AUUGCAGGCUGCAACUCGCCUGCAUGAAGCGGAAUUGCUAGUAAUCGCAGAUCAGCAUGCUGCGGUGAAUACGUUCCCGGGCCUUGUACACACCGCCCGUCACACCAUGGGAGUCGGUAACACCCGAAGUCGGUAGCCUAACCGUAAGGAGGGCGCCGCCGAAGGCGGGAUUGAUGACUGGGGUGAAGUCGUAACAAGGUACC